This 466-nucleotide ribosomal RNA is filed under the name uncultured bacterium. RNAcentral's name for it is "partial 16S ribosomal RNA". It matches the Rfam family "Bacterial small subunit ribosomal RNA", at positions 28 to 506 of the family's 1533-position model. The record is from RNAcentral.
GACGAACGCUGGCGGCGUGCUUAACACAUGCAAGUCGAACGGAAAGGCCCUGCUUUUGUGGGGUGCUCGAGUGGCGAACGGGUGAGUAACACGUGAGUAACCUGCCCUUGACUUUGGGAUAACUUCAGGAAACUGGGGCUAAUACCGGAUAGGAGCUCCUGCUGCAUGGUGGGGGUUGGAAAGUUUCGGCGGUUGGGGAUGGACUCGCGGCUUAUCAGCUUGUUGGUGGGGUAGUGGCUUACCAAGGCUUUGACGGGUAGCCGGCCUGAGAGGGUGACCGGCCACAUUGGGACUGAGAUACGGCCCAGACUCCUACGGGAGGCAGCAGUGGGGAAUAUUGCACAAUGGCGGAAGCCUGAUGCAGCAACGCCGCGUGCGGGAUGACGGCCUUCGGGUUGUAAACCGCUUUCGCCUGUGACGAAGCGUGAGUGACGGUAAUGGGUAAAGAAGCACCGGCGAACUACGU